Molecule: long non-coding RNA, 1454 nt
Filed under: Callithrix jacchus (white-tufted-ear marmoset)
Lineage: Eukaryota; Metazoa; Chordata; Mammalia; Primates; Cebidae
Description: lncRNA (ENSCJAG00000075283.1)
Source: RNAcentral
AAACCUGAGUCUAGGAGGUGGGGGGGGGGCAGAUUCUUAGGAGCCGGCGGACUGGGUGUCCUGGAGGGCGAAGGAGACCGUACUGCAGCUGCCACAGGAAGGCGGCCUGGCCUCCCAGAGCGCCCACACUGCGGACUGGGCGGGCUGGACCAGCAUCAGAGGCCGAGCAUUGUCAAAGACACUGAGGCUCCAGGAGCCGAGGCUCGGCUUCAGAGGCCCUGGCCUGGGCACGAAGGAAGCAACCACUCCGUUUUUGAUCAGGGGCUUGAAGGCGGAGGGCCGGGGCUCCGGGUUCCGCCUGCAGCCCUUGCUGUCUGGGACCUGCAACCCCAGCGGCCCUUGUAUCGUGGUGCUCCCCUUGUGGCACGCGCGCAGUGCCGUCUGCGGGAUCUCCGGGGCGCCGGGGUCGGCGAGCUCCUGGGCAGCGGAGCGGGCUCGCUGUCCUGGGGACCCCCGGGGGCUCUCCGCGUGCUCGGGAAGGGCAAUCCUGAUGGUCACCGGGCUCCAGGUGCUUCCUGGGUUCGGGGUUCUCCGCAGCCCCCACUUCGUGCAAUCCUCCCCAGCGCAGGAGGAGUCUCGCCCCGGGGCGGUGUCCCCGGGCCGUGUCGGGCUGCUGCAGGUCUCGGGGAUCCCCCGCUGGGGCUUGGCGAGGUCCUGGCGGGGCCGCACCUCGGGGAUGCGGGUGCUGGGUGCCGGCCGCCCCCACUGGACGCUCUGAACGGGGCCCGGAGUCAGGGACGGCGGUGGUCGUGGGAUCGGACGACCCCCGGGGGACGGCGCAGGCUGGGCCCUGCCGGGCGAGCUGCUCAUGGUAGUCGCCAGGGCGGGCCUUGCAACUGGGGUUCGCCUUCCGGAUGUUCCCGGGGUCUGCGGACUCGACAGGAGCUGCAGCGCCCGCGGUUGGGGACCGUUGGCCUCUGGACGCCUGGAAGGAAGAAGCCUUUACCCUGUAGCUGUCACCUUCCUAUCCACCUGUCCUCUCAGCCACGCCAACCAGGAAUCUACUUUCUGCUUCUGCAGACUUCCCUCCUCUGGGCUCUCCUAUGGCAUCACUUAAAAUGAUGAUUUCCAGAUUCUGCCUUGCUGGGACCUGUACAUCCUUCCCUUUCAUGUCCAAUAAACGAUUCCAUUGUAUGGAUAUACCACACUGGUUUAGCCUUUCAUCAGCUGAUGGACGUUUGUGUUGUUUGCACGUUUGGGCUUUUGUCAGACAUUGGUGGACAAGAUUUUGCGCAGACCAAUAUUUCCAUGUCUAUGUAGUAUGUAGUUGGGAGUAGAAUUGCUGGGUCUAUAGUUAGUCCAUGUUUAACUUCUUGAAGAAGCACCAAACUGUUCUUCGCCUCUAUACCAUGUUGUGCCCUCACCAGCAAUGUUGCUCUAUUUUAUGCUUGACAUUUAGAAAGAUAAUGUUUAAUAAUACCUGCAGAAAACUGCAGAUAGAUUAUUGACAGACG